GACGAAGGGCGCAAGCGUUAUCCGGAAUUAUUGGGCGUAAAGAGCUCGUAGGAGGUUUGUCGCGUCUGCCGUGAAAGUCCGGGGCGCAACUCCGGAUCUGCGGUGGGUACGGGCAGACUAGAGUGAUGUAGGGGAGACUGGAAUUCAUGGUGUAGCGGUGAAAUGCGCAGAUAUCAGGAGGACCACCGAUGGCGAAGGCAGGUCUCUGGGCAUUAACUGACGCUGAGGAGCGAAAGCAUGGGGAGCGAACAGG
RNAcentral lists this unclassified non-coding RNA (253 nucleotides) under uncultured Micrococcaceae bacterium. Its description in RNAcentral is "contains 16S-23S intergenic spacer region". It matches the Rfam family "Bacterial small subunit ribosomal RNA", at positions 524 to 776 of the family's 1533-position model. The record is from RNAcentral. Lineage: Bacteria; Bacillati; Actinomycetota; Actinomycetes; Micrococcales; Micrococcaceae.